UACGUAGGGGGCAAGCGUUGUCCGGAUUUAUUGGGCGUAAAGAGCGUGUAGGCGGCCAGACAGGUCCGUUGUGAAAACUCGAGGCUCAACCUCGAGACGCCGAUGGAAACCGUCUGGCUAGAGUCCGGAAGAGGAGAGUGGAAUUCCCGGUGUAGCGGUGAAAUGCGCAGAUAUCGGGAAGAACACCAAAGGCGAAGGCAGCGUCCUGGCUCGUAUCUGACGCUCAUGUGCGAAAGCUAGGGGAGCGAACGGG
Molecule: ribosomal RNA, 253 nt
Filed under: uncultured bacterium
Lineage: Bacteria
Description: partial 16S ribosomal RNA
Rfam family: Bacterial small subunit ribosomal RNA
Source: RNAcentral